Molecule: transfer RNA, 70 nt
Filed under: Osteoglossum ferreirai (black arawana)
Lineage: Eukaryota; Metazoa; Chordata; Actinopteri; Osteoglossiformes; Osteoglossidae
Also listed under: 1 other name
Description: tRNA-Tyr
Rfam family: tRNA
About the family: Transfer RNA (tRNA) molecules are approximately 80 nucleotides in length. Their secondary structure includes four short double-helical elements and three loops (D, anti-codon, and T loops). Further hydrogen bonds mediate the characteristic L-shaped molecular structure. tRNAs have two regions of fundamental functional importance: the anti-codon, which is responsible for specific mRNA codon recognition, and the 3' end, to which the tRNAs corresponding amino acid is attached (by aminoacyl-tRNA synthetases). tRNAs cope with the degeneracy of the genetic code in two manners: having more than one tRNA (with a specific anti-codon) for a particular amino acid; and 'wobble' base-pairing, i.e. permitting non-standard base-pairing at the 3rd anti-codon position.
Source: RNAcentral
GGUAGAAUGGCUGAAUGUUAAGCGGUGGGUUGUAGCCCCUUAUAUAGAGGUUAAAUUCCUCUUUCUAUCA